UACGGAGGGUGCAAACGUUGCUCGGAAUCAUUGGGCGUAAAGCGCACGUAGGCGGCACGUUAAGUCGGGUGUGAAAGCCCCGGGCUCAACCCGGGAAGUGCAUUCGAAACUGGCGCGCUUGAGUAUGGAAGAGGGUCUCGGAAUUCCCGGUGUAGAGGUGAAAUUCGUAGAUAUCGGGAGGAACACCAGUGGCGAAGGCGGAGACCUGGGCCAAUACUGACGCUGAGGUGCGAAAGCGUGGGGAGCAAACAGG
Molecule: ribosomal RNA, 253 nt
Filed under: uncultured bacterium
Lineage: Bacteria
Description: partial 16S ribosomal RNA
Rfam family: Bacterial small subunit ribosomal RNA
Source: RNAcentral